Molecule: small nucleolar RNA, 78 nt
Organism: Calliphora vicina (urban bluebottle blowfly)
Lineage: Eukaryota; Metazoa; Arthropoda; Insecta; Diptera; Calliphoridae
Source: RefSeq, a predicted model, not a curated record
UUUACAUGAUGACUAUUAUGUCUAGUUCUGCUACUGACUACCAUCAUGAGGAAAACCAAAUUACCAAAUUACUGAAGU